This 289-nucleotide unclassified non-coding RNA is filed under the name uncultured Rhizophagus. RNAcentral describes it as "sequence contains ITS2". Lineage: Eukaryota; Fungi; Glomeromycota; Glomeromycetes; Glomerales; Glomeraceae. The record is from RNAcentral.
AACGCAAAUUGCACUCUUUUCGGAGAGUAUGCCUGUUUGAGGGUCAAUAUAAUAAAAAUCGGUAUGUUGCUUUUUUUGUGACGUUCCGGAAUUUGAGUUAUCUUAAUUUUUUUGUUUAAGAGGCUUAAAAUUGACCUUUUUUGCGCAUUUUUUAGACGUACAUAAAUUUUUUUUUUAUUCGUUUAUUCUAAUGCCAAAAUCUAUUAGAUGCGACCAUAUCAUGUGGUUUCGUGUCCAUAAAUUUUCAUGAUUUGACCUCAAAUCAGGUAGGAACACCCGCUGAACUUAA